RNAcentral lists this ribosomal RNA (468 nucleotides) under uncultured bacterium. RNAcentral's name for it is "partial 16S ribosomal RNA". It matches the Rfam family "Bacterial small subunit ribosomal RNA", at positions 28 to 507 of the family's 1533-position model. The record is from RNAcentral.
GACGAACGCUGGCGGCGUGCUUAACACAUGCAAGUCGAACGGAAAGGCCCUGCUUUUGUGGGGUGCUCGAGUGGCGAACGGGUGAGUAACACGUGAGUAACCUGCCCUUGACUUUGGGAUAACUUCAGGAAACUGGGGCUAAUACCGGAUAGGAGCUCCUGCUGCAUGGUGGGGGUUGGAAAGUUUCGGCGUUUGGGGAUGGACUCGCGGCUUAUCAGCUUGUUGGUGGGGUGGUGGCUUACCAAGGCUUUGACGGGUCGCCGGCCUGAGAGGGUGACCGGCCACAUUGGUACUGAGAUACGGCCCAGACUCCUACGGGAGGCAGCAGUGGGGAACAUUGCACAAUGGGCGGAAGCCUGAUGCAGCAACGCCGCGUGCGGGAUGACGGCCUUCGGGUUGUAAACCGCUUUCGCCUGUGACGAAGCGUGAGUGACGGUAAUGGGUAAAGAAGCACCGGCUAACUACGUG